GACGAACGCUGGCGGCGUGCUUAACACAUGCAAGUCGAACGGAAAGGCCCUGCUUUUGUGGGGUGCUCGAGUGGCGAACGGGUGAGUAACACGUGAGUAACCUGCCCUUGACUUUGGGAUAACUUCAGGAAACUGGGGCUAAUACCGGAUAGGAGCUCCUGCUGCAUGGUGGGGGUUGGAAAGUUUCGGCGGUUGGGGAUGGACUCGCGGCUUAUCAGCUUGUUGGUGGGGUAGUGGCUGACCAAGGCUUUGACGGGUAGCCGGCCUGAGAGGGUGACCGGCCACAUUGGGACUGAGAUACGGCCCAGACUGCUACGGGAGGCAGCAGUGGGGAAUAUUGCACAAUGGGCGGAAGCCUGAUGCAGCAACGCCGCGUGCGGGAUGACGGCCUUCGGGUUGUAAACCGCUUUCGCCUGUGACGAAGCGUGAGUGACGGUAAUGGGUAAAGAAGCACCGGCUAACUACGUG
RNAcentral lists this ribosomal RNA (468 nucleotides) under uncultured bacterium. Its description in RNAcentral is "partial 16S ribosomal RNA". It matches the Rfam family "Bacterial small subunit ribosomal RNA", at positions 28 to 507 of the family's 1533-position model. The record is from RNAcentral.